UAAGAUGGAGGAAAAGAGCUUUCAUAGGAACUGGAGCAGCAGCCUCUCCCCUCCCUUCCUUCAGAACCUAAACCAGAGCUUGCCUCCUCCAGGAAGCCUUCCUUGUGAAACCCACCAAGCCCCAGCCCCUCCACAACUCAGGGAGACAGUCUGAUGCCCAAAGUGGGGCCUGCAGCUCCCUGAAUUCAGCAGGGUCCAGACCUCUUGUUUCUGAUUCUCUCUACCCUCUAAACCCCAAAUCUAGACAAGGGAUACCUCGGGCCAAAGCCAGUGUGCCCAGCCCUGGCCAGACUGCCCAGUCAGGGAGACAGAGACACCCUGGAGCAGGUGGGGCCCUGUCCUGGGAAGCCCCCAGCGCAGCAGGGCAGACGGUCCCCACCCACGGUCCCAGGGACAUGCUCGCUUACAAAGCCAUGGCAGCAGGCGCGAGCACAUUCUCCCUGAUUCUGAGGAGGCUGAGGCUGGCUGAGCUAGGGGCCGGGACCCAAACUUGGUGACGGACCGAGGUGACUCAAUCGCUGCCUCAUCAUGUCAGCACUCUGCAGACUCUGCCGUCACCCACCAGUAUUUGAUCUUCUGAGCAGGGCGGUGUCUGAUGCCUCUCUGAGUCCUCAGCUGGGGAAGGAACUUGGAGAGGAGUCGUGACUUGCUGAAAGACAGCGACAGGGAAGGCUUUGCCUAAGGGUGUGACCUGGGACUAGAUCUCGGUGGGGUCUCCAGACCCAGCGGGCACCCUUUCUGCUAGUUCCCUCUUACACACUCGAUCAAUCCCCUGCACCGGCACUGCCCACCCCACCCCCUUUCCACGUCCCUCUGCAGUGGGUCGGCGAAGUGGGCUGCCAAGAGGAAUGAGGGAAGAUGGAAGAUCUUGGUGGGCUUCCCAGGGGAGGUGAGAACCUCACCCAGUUCUCCUCUGGUAAAACAAAUAAUUGGGCUUCCCAUGAGCAAGGGCCUUUCAGCCAGCAGAAGCCACCCCCAGCCCAAGGUAGCAUCCAAAGGGAUCCUGGCUUGCUUCCACUGAUUCCCUGCUCAGGUCAGGUGUGCACAAGGUGGCCAAUAGAUGGCGCUUUAGUCUCCACAAUUGAAUGGAAGAAGAGGGUAGAGGGGCAGGAGGUGGGGGGGGGGGGUCCAGGAGGGAGGAAGUGGAAACUUGAAAGAAAAAGGAAACCAGAACCUCUCACUUGGCUUGGAAAAGUAGCUUUCAAGAUCAGGGCUGUGGGUGUGAGCUGGAGGGAUAUGGAGAUUGUGGUGAGCAGAGGAAUUUUAUUAGUGCCCGGGGGUUUCCACCCAAGUUUCCACACCCACUGGCCUCUUUCUGACAGGAAGAGAAUGACUCUGGGGUCAGGAGGACCUGGAGCCCAGUUCUGAGUCAGUCAUGUUGCAGCUCGACCUGAGUCAUUUAACUUUUAUGAGCUCUGCUCCACUAUCUAUUAAGUGGAGCUAAUAAUUCUAGGCCGCACCCACGGUAUAUGGAAGUUCCCAGGCUAGGGGUCUAAUCGGAGCUGUUGCUGCCCACCUAUACCUCAGCCACAGCCACAGCCAAGCCAGAUCUGAGCCGCCUCUGCCACCUACUCCACAGCUCACGGCCACGCCAGAUCCUCAACCCACUGAGCAAGGCCAGGGAUCGAACCCGCAACCUCAUGGUUCCUAGCUGGAUUCGUUAACCGCUGCGCCACAACAGGAACUCCCGGGAACGGUUAUAUUUUGUGUGUUCAGUCCUUCUCUAUCCAUUUUUGAUAACAUAAGUAAUACAGAAGUGGGAUGACUUCUAUUUUUUCUAUGUUCUGAAACAAGUUAUAUAACUAGAAAAAUGAGUUCCUUGAUGGUUUGACAGGAUUCACAGCUAAUACUGGCCAACCUAGGUUCUCUCGGGUGGGAUCAGUGGGGGAAGUGUCUCUGACAGUGUUUUCUGUUUCUUCUGUACUAAUAGGUCUAUCGAGAUUAGUUAUUCCUUGGAGUUCCCGCUGUGGCACAAUGGAAUCGAUGGCCUUUUGGGAAUGCUGGGACACAGGUUUGAUCCCGACCAGGCACAGCAGGUUGAUGAUCCCAUGUUGCCGCAGCUGAGGCUUGGGUCACAACUGCGGCUCAGAGCUGAUCUGGUCCGGGAAUUCCAUAUGCCUUGGGGCAGCCCCAAAAGAGAGAGAGAUUAGCUACUCCUUAAAUUAAUCAAGCCAGACCAGAGUGUCUACCAGCCAGACACCUACCGCCAAACUUUCACAGUGGGCAUGAGGCCGUGAUUAAAUGGGAAAGUUUGGCACCUCUAAGAAACAAGAGGAUUUCAGCCAAUGGCGGAUUUUUUUCUCUACCUUGUGUCUUCUUUCCUCCAUCACCACCACUCCUUCCAGCAAAAGCCACCGCCCUUUCCUGCCUGGAUCCUGCAGUACCCUUCCAGGUGGUGUCCCCCUCCCAUCCCACCCCAGAUACAUUCAAACAGCAUAUGUGGGGCUAUGAAAUUUCCUCUGAGCACAGGUUUGACUGUAUUCUAUGGGUUUUAAUAUGUACCGUUCUCAUCUUUAUGAAUUUAUAAGUAGUCUAUAAGUUUAACGUUCCUGUAACCUAAGAUAGGUAAGCAUUUUUAAAUUUUCAAGUGCUUAAUUCCAAAUGUGGUCCAAAAACUUAUUCUCAUACAGGCACAAAUUUAUGAAUAUUUUUGAUAUUUUAUUUUCAUUUAAAUAGCGAAUGCAUCCGUAUAUUGUGGAUUGCUUAGAUGACCUUCUGAUAUCAGAAGCAUCAGAGACCCGACACUUAAAGUCUUCACUUGCAUUUAUUAGCAAGCAGUGCUACUUUAAUCUUGAUAUAAGACAAAAAAUAACAAAUGAUGUAGACUUUAUGAAUAAAUGCUGUGUUUAGGCCCGUUGGUGGUAUGGCCUGCUACCAGAAGGAAUGCUUGCACUUCAUUCAAAGAAAAAAAUGGUGGAUGACUUGUUAUCCCCACCAGAUAGUAAAAUAAUUACCUUAAUUUCAGGUGUGCAAAAUUUCCCCCCAGACUGACUUCAACUGAAACACAUAAACAAACUGAAAGGAAAGAUUGGAUCCCAAGAGCACAGCAUCCAACACAGGAUAGAGAUGGAGGGAAUUCCAAGGAAAAUAGUAAGGGAAAUUUCAGGUCCACAUCUGGGCGGCAGACACGGAGCACAGUGGACGCAGGCUAGAGCUGGAGGACAGAGGGCUCUGGGAGAGAUGCCCCCAGGAAAGGAAAAACACAACAACCAAAAGCGAUGACAGAUUUCCUGAUAAAUUUGACCUUGUGAAAAACUGUGCUCAUGGAAGACACAGGAAGAAGAUUCAGCUGUAGGUACAAAGAAAGCUAAGCAAAUGAAAAAUAAUAAGGCAUCGACUACAGGGAAAAUCGAAAGUUGCACAAAAAAUGCAGGGGCGGAGGAAAUCCAUGGUACACCAGCAGCUUCUUAGAGAAUGAUGUGUAUAUAGCAAUCAUAAUAUAAGCGCUAAAAACUAAUUUAACCAAAAGGUGAUCAUUUGGAUAGGGAUGGGAAGACAGAGAUUUAGACGUAGGAGGUCCCGUUGUGGCUCAGCAGUAACGAACUCGACUAGUAUCCAUGAGGAUGUGAGUUCGAUCCCUGGCCUUGCUCAGUGGGUUAAGGAUCCGGCAUUGCCUUGAGCUGUGGUGUAGCUCGAAGAUGUGGCUCAGAUCCUGCAUUGCUGUGGCUGUGGCGUAGGCCAGCACCUGUAGCUCCCAUUUGACCCCUAGCCUGGGAACCUCCCUAUGCCA
Molecule: long non-coding RNA, 3730 nt
Filed under: Sus scrofa (pig)
Lineage: Eukaryota; Metazoa; Chordata; Mammalia; Artiodactyla; Suidae
Description: lncRNA (ENSSSCG00000059485.1)
Source: RNAcentral